ACAAAAGACGAGUUCAGCUUUGUAACAAAAACAAAAGAGUUUUAUUCUGAUUUAUUAGAGUUACUAGAUUUUGACCCGCCCUUAAAAGAGCGGAUAUAUUUUUUGUUUUACAUUUUUUGAGAAAUUUUAUUUUUAUAUUUAUGUUUUUUAAUCGUAUUUGUGUGUUUUUUGUAUAAUAUUUCUCUUAAAUGAUUAAUAAGAGUUUUAAUAAUUGUAUUAAAAUAGUUGGAUCACACCUAUAUGUCAUGGUGAUGUUUUAAUAGUUCUAAUUAUAGUUUAAAAUUCUAAAAAAAAAAAGUUUAAGAGUUCUAAUUCUAGUUUGUUGUGUUCGUACCCGUUAACAAUUAUAUUUUUUUUUCUGUAUCUUAAAAUUUGAGAGAAAACAAAUAAAAACCGAAAAUGAAAUAAAUAAUAAUAAUAAUAAAAAUAAAAAUAUAAAACAACAACUAUAAAUUGACACUUUCUCUUAUACAUC
Molecule: long non-coding RNA, 475 nt
Filed under: Brassica napus (rape)
Lineage: Eukaryota; Viridiplantae; Streptophyta; Magnoliopsida; Brassicales; Brassicaceae
Description: long non-coding RNA (BNAP_LNC013215)
Source: RNAcentral